UGAUUCUUAUAAAAAACAAAUUUAUUGUGUAUUAGCUGAGGUUUUCCAGUUACUUGAGGUGUCCUGAAGGAAGCAUAGCCUGUGCCAAAUUCCAACCCUCAUCCCUUUUUUUUUUAAGCUGUUCAGAAACUUCUCUAGUUUAAUAAAAACAGUGUAAUUUAUCACACCUCCUCCACAAGCACCUUCCUUAUGUGAAUUAAAGGAACCCAUGAACAGAUGGGAAAUCAGAGGAGCCAGAAGGUCUCAUGGAGCAAUCCUGGAUGUUCCUUCCCCUGGGAGGUGGGUGCAGCUCAGGGAACUUCCUUCUAAACUGAGGAAGUGGGAAGCAUGAAGUGCUAAUUUUGCAGAGGGAAUGACACUGGGUUUUCAUGGCAUCCUGGAAUGGUCUGGGUUGGAAAGGACCUUAAAGACCAGGGGCAGGGACAUCUUCUUUAAAGCCCCAUCCAAACACUUGAGGAUGGAUGCCCUGGCCUCAAACACUUCCAGAGAUGGGGAAUUAAAUUCCCCACAACUUUUCCAAGGACAAAUACCUUUUUUGCCUCCUCAAGCCUCUCCCCCAGCCCCACAAUGAACCUCCGGCUUUAUCUCGGCUGGACAAAGAGCCGAAAAUCCAAAUGCUGGAUUUGGGGUGCAAAGCUGAGAAACCUGGAGGUGUCCUAAAUCGUCUUGCUGUCCCGAUGGAUCCAUGGGGUUUAUCCCGCAUUCCGAGGGUGAUGCUGCCUUGUGGCCGGGCAAGCUGGAAGGUGACGAUUCAUUUCACCGCGAAUAAGAUGAAAAAUGACGAGUAACACGAAACCGAGCAUCUCUAGCAACUCCCUGCCGGGACCUCGGCGUCGGGAUGCUCCCGGUUUCCGCCGGAUGCGGGAAAAGCACCAUUCCCAGCGUUUGGCGAGGGAGGCGAGCUCGUGGGCGGGGGUGGGCGCGGGAGGCUCUGGCGAGGAGCUCUGGGGCUUCCUGUUUCCUUCCGCAGCUCGAGCAGAAUUUGAAAGCAGCGGCUGCCGUGAGCUGGACCAAUGAUCGGGGCACAGCGCGCCCGGGCCGCCCGCGCCCGUUACGGCCCCGGGGCUGCGCUUCCCGGCUCCCCCUGGGAACACCGGGAACCCCCGGCCCGGGGGCGGCCCGGACCCACCACCCACGGGAAUCAGCAGAAGCAUGGCUGUCCCGCUGGGAUUAA
This 1174-nucleotide long non-coding RNA is filed under the name Serinus canaria (Common canary). Its description in RNAcentral is "lncRNA (ENSSCAG00000014536.1)". The record is from RNAcentral. Lineage: Eukaryota; Metazoa; Chordata; Aves; Passeriformes; Fringillidae.